This is a long non-coding RNA of Nymphaea colorata (pocket water lily), 1405 nucleotides long. RefSeq lists it as uncharacterized. The transcript is spliced from 2 exons. Lineage: Eukaryota; Viridiplantae; Streptophyta; Magnoliopsida; Nymphaeales; Nymphaeaceae. The record is from RefSeq and is a predicted model, not a curated record.
UCAUAUAUUCUCGCUUGCUUGGCAUUGAGCUCCAUACAAGCUUUAAUUCUGAGUAACCUCUAUUUACUGCGGCGAGUGAAAGGACGAGAGGUGCCCGCUAAUUACAGAGCGUCUAACUUUUGGAGGUUCUUCGCUGGAUUGCAGCCCACAGUUGCUAUAUAAACCCUCUGGACUUGUUUAUUUGGUGUGUUGCUUGUCCACAAGCCAAGUGCCCUUGAACUAGAGAGGGGGAUGAGUCACAAGCUGAGAAUUGGAAGAUCCUUCUGCCAAAAGGCAUUCAGUCACAGCUGCUCGAGACUCUUCUUGGUGGUGCAACUUUAAUUGCAGUGAGAAAACCACUGCUUCUGACCUCUCCGUGCUCCCAUCCUUUACCUUAAUUUCUUAUGGUUGCUGGAAUCCGGUGAGGAUUUGGGUUGCAAUAAACUAUUGCAUUAGGAGGAGGUAUUGACGUGCCUCAAUCUGAUGGCACGGCUAUAGAGUUUAUAGCUCUGUGAUCGGAUUGAGCCGCGUCAAUAUCUCCUGCUGCACGAUCUGUUAGCUGCAUCUUCCCCAGCCCUUCAGGUAAAACCGUUCCUCUCUCCCCCUCCCCCCCCCCUCUCCUCCUCUCUCUCUCUCUCUCUCUUGUUUGCUGUGAUAACUCACCAAAUUUUAAUGUCUUUCAUCUGCGAUUAUUUUGAAAUCUCUUUGCUCUUUCUUCCCAUGUCGUGAUUGACGCUUGUUAAUAGCUUGGUUUCAAUCGAAAAGUAUAGCAGACGGACAAUUUCUUCUAUCUUGCUCCGGCCGCCGGAUCAUGGUCACGAGCACGAUCAUCAUCAUGCAAUUGUGGCUGAGAUCGAUCCACAACAUGACAACUCCUUUGAUUUAACGGAAGGUAUCGCCAUGAAAUCAAACCAUUUUGAAUCGGACCAAUUUUACUUUUUUCUCGAUGAGGGCCAACUGAAGACGUCAAUUUCAACUGCUUUUGUUGGAGUGUAAUAAAAAAAGAUUCGGAGAAUCGAUUCAGGAUAACAUCGGUCUCGUUCAGUCUGAUUUUACCUAUUCAAUUCAAAGAAACUGUUGAGUCAAGGAGCUCCUGUACUGCCUCCUCCACCACAUCAAUCAUGUGCUUUCUGCUCGGACGAUUCUGGAGAUUGAAGCUGAUCGAUUCCUGCAACAGUGGUCCAUACCUUUCGAUCGAGCCUGCCAGCUACAUGUUCUUGUUUUGUAGAUUUAAUUUUACUUGGUAACAAGAAGAAAUACAUCACAAAAUAUGGAUCUCUGCUAACUGUUUUGUUAUCUGUCAUGCAUAAUUCGUGAUAGAAUUUAUUCUCUUUUGUGUUGGAAGUUUGUAACUUUAAUGGGUAGCUAGCAGUGAAACGAGCACAUAGAAAUAAGGGGGUUGAGCGAUAAUGGCUCCCCAUUUUUA